CAGCAGCCACGGUAAUACGGAGGGGGCUAGCGUUGUUCGGAAUUACUGGGCGUAAAGCGCACGUAGGCGGCUUGGUAAGUUAGAGGUGAAAGCCCGGAGCUCAACUCCGGAAUUGCCUUUAAGACUGCCGAGCUAGCAGGUGAGAGAGGUAAGUGGAAUUCCGAGUGUAGAGGUGAAAUUCGUAGAUAUUCGGAAGAACACCAGUGGCGAAGGCGGCUUACUGGCUCAUACUGGACGCUGAGGUGCGAAAGCGUGGGGAGCAAACAGGAUUAGAGACCCGCGUAGUCCCUGUCUCUUAUAC
This 301-nucleotide ribosomal RNA is filed under the name uncultured bacterium. Its description in RNAcentral is "partial 16S ribosomal RNA". It matches the Rfam family "Bacterial small subunit ribosomal RNA", at positions 509 to 807 of the family's 1533-position model. The record is from RNAcentral.